RNAcentral lists this ribosomal RNA (488 nucleotides) under uncultured bacterium. Its description in RNAcentral is "partial 16S ribosomal RNA". It matches the Rfam family "Bacterial small subunit ribosomal RNA", at positions 28 to 507 of the family's 1533-position model. The record is from RNAcentral.
GACGAACGCUGGCGGCGUGCUUAACACAUGCAAGUCGAACGCGCCUGUCCUCUGGGUUUCUGGGGGGUGGGUGAGUGGCGAACGGGUGAGUAACACGUGAGUAACCUGCCCCCUUCUUCGGGAUAACGGUCUGAAAGGGCUGCUAAUACCGGGUAUUCACUGGUCUCCGCAUGGGGUCUGGUGGAAAGGUUUUUUUCUGGUGGGGGAUGGGCUCGCGGCCUAUCAGCUUGCUGGUGGGGUGAUGGCCCACCAAGGCUUUGACGGGUAGCCGGCCUGAGAGGGUGACCGGUCACAUUGGGACUGAGAUACGGCCCAGACUCCUACGGGAGGCAGCAGUGGGGAAUAUUGCACAAUGGGCGCAAGCCUGAUGCAGCGACGCCGCGUGAGGGAUGGAGGCCUUCGGGUUGUGAACCUCUUUCGCCCGUGGUCAAGCCGCGACGUGGGUCGUGGUGAGGGUAGUGGGUAAAGAAGCGCCGGCUAACUACGUG